Molecule: ribosomal RNA, 300 nt
Filed under: uncultured Conexibacter sp.
Lineage: Bacteria; Bacillati; Actinomycetota; Thermoleophilia; Solirubrobacterales; Conexibacteraceae
Description: bacterial SSU rRNA
Rfam family: Bacterial small subunit ribosomal RNA
Source: RNAcentral
GCUAACUACGUGCCAGCAGCCGCGGUAAUACGUAGGGGGCGAGCGUUGUCCGGAAUCAUUGGGCGUAAAGCGCGUGUAGGCGGUUACAUAAGUCUGUUGUGAAAGUCGGAGGCUCAACCUUCGAAAGCCGAUGGAUACUGUGUGACUAGAGUCCGGAAGAGGAGAGUGGAAUUCCUGGUGUAGCGGUGAAAUGCGCAGAUAUCAGGAGGAACACCAACGGCGAAGGCAGCUCUCUGGGACGGUACUGACGCUGAGACGCGAAAGCGUGGGGAGCAAACAGGAUUAGAUACCCCAGUAGUC